Molecule: ribosomal RNA, 204 nt
Filed under: uncultured bacterium
Lineage: Bacteria
Description: partial 16S ribosomal RNA
Rfam family: Bacterial small subunit ribosomal RNA
Source: RNAcentral
AAGUGUUAGAGGGGGGCCGCCUUUUGUGCCGCAGCAAACGCGUUAAGCACUACACCUGGGGAGUACGGCCGCAAGGCUGAAACUCAAAGGAAUUGACGGGGGCCCGCACAAGCGGUGGAGCAUGUGGUUUAAUUCGAAGCAACGCGAAGAACCUUACCAGGUCUUGACAUCCCCUGACAUCCCUAGAGAUAGGGCGUUCCCCUU